GAUCCUCUGUAAACACCGAUAUUAGGGGUCCCAGGUCCUGACCCUCGCUGACGGCGUGUGGCUGGAGCUGACGGCUAUGUAUUCAGAAAUUCUGUGAACUGCUCAGUGGCAGUUACAUUGGAGUUUGAAACGGGCUCUGGCAGGCCCCUGCCAUACGAAUGGGCAAAUGCUGCCAUUUUCUCAACCACUACCUCUCCUCCACCCCCUCUCUCCCACCCUUACCCCACAGACAGCUGUUAAACAUUUACCAGCCUAGUCACCUUCCAGGGGCAUCUGGCAGACUCUGUAGCCACAAGCCAAGCUUUCAGGCCAGGCCAGUGUUGAGCAAGUCGGCCACCUCUAGCCAGAAACAAGGUCCUCUGUGCGUGUCUGGGCACUCCCUGACAUUAGAGAGACACUGUGUCCUAAGUUCCUUCUUCAAAAAGCUGUUAUUUGGACCCAAAUAAUAGAUUUUCUGCCUAGAGAGUGACUCUUGGCUCUUUGGCACCAAUUCCUGAACUACCAAGCCAAUAUCUUCAAAUCAAGGCUUGCAAAUAUUGAAUAGAUUAGAUUGUACUGUUUUUGUGUGUGUAGUGUGUGUGUUUGGUUGGUUUUUGUUUGAAUGCAUAAAUAAGCUAUCAGUGAAGCCUCCAACUUCUGUCCACGGAACGGUUGAAGAGGAGACGUAAAACACUCUUCAUCUAUGCACCAAUGUUAUUGUUCACCAUCAUGCAUGGACCAUCAAAGAAAGAGAAGGUGGGGUUAUCCUGCCUUCCCAGAGACAGACGAGUAUACAGAAGAUUUGAGGCAGAUCCAAGAGGACCUCCCACCCUGACUCACAUAUCAACCAAGGUCUUCCAGUUCAGUUUCCAAGUACCUAAGGGGUACUUAGAAAAUGAUCACAUUGGGGAAUCAAAAAAAAAUUGUUUUCUGAAAAGAUCCUCCCCAGACAGUGUGGAAAAACAGCUGUGUAACAAAAGCCAUACUCUGAGUCCUUCCAAUGUCUACAUAUUAAAGGCUUGGUUCUCAGGUUGA
This is a non-coding RNA of Myodes glareolus (Bank vole), 1014 nucleotides long. NCBI's taxonomy places the organism in Eukaryota, Metazoa, Chordata, Mammalia, Rodentia, Cricetidae. The record is from RefSeq and is a predicted model, not a curated record.